UCGAAUCCUGCUCUAGCGGAAUGACCCGUUAACUCGUUAAAACAUCGGGCAAGCUUCAGGGCUCCUGUUUGCGACCCCGGUUUGUUGUCCCCUCACGGGUGUCAACAAGCCAACUAAAUCAACCGGGCGCUGACUGCGCCAAGGAAAUUAAUACUAAAUUGAUUGUUUGCUACUUGUUCGCGGGCAGCAGCGUCAAUCUGAAACAC
RNAcentral lists this ribosomal RNA (206 nucleotides) under Kozlovia paleacea. RNAcentral describes it as "internal transcribed spacer 1". Lineage: Eukaryota; Viridiplantae; Streptophyta; Magnoliopsida; Apiales; Apiaceae. The record is from RNAcentral.